CUACGUGCCAGCAGCCGCGGUAAUACGGAGGGUGCAAGCGUUAAUCGGAAUUACUGGGCGUAAAGCGCACGCAGGCGGUUUGUUAAGUCAGAUGUGAAAUCCCCGGGCUCAACCUGGGAACUGCAUUUGAAACUGGCAAGCUAGAGUCUCGUAGAGGGGGGUAGAAUUCCAGGUGUAGCGGUGAAAUGCGUAGAGAUCUGGAGGAAUACCGGUGGCGAAGGCGGCCCCCUGGACAAAGACUGACGCUCAGGUGCGAAAGCGUGGGGAGCAAACAGGAUUAGAUACCCAGGUAGUCCACGCUGUAAACGAUGUCGAUUUGGAGGUUGUGCCCUUGAGGCGUGGCUUCCGGAGCUAACGCGUUAAAUCGACCGCCUGGGGAGUACGGCCGCAAGGUUAAAACUCAAAUGAAUUGACGGGGGCCCGCACAAGCGGUGGAGCAUGUGGUUUAAUUCGAUGCAACGCGAAGAACCUUACCUACUCUUGACAUCCAGA
This 492-nucleotide ribosomal RNA is filed under the name uncultured bacterium. RNAcentral describes it as "bacterial SSU rRNA". It matches the Rfam family "Bacterial small subunit ribosomal RNA", at positions 501 to 992 of the family's 1533-position model. The record is from RNAcentral.